UGGGGAAUAUUGCACAAUGGGCGCAAGCCUGAUGCAGCCAUGCCGCGUGUAUGAAGAAGGCCUUCGGGUUGUAAAGUACUUUCAGCGGGGAGGAAGGCGAUAAGGUUAAUAACCUUGUCGAUUGACGUUACCCGCAGAAGAAGCACCGGCUAACUCCGUGCCAGCAGCCGCGGUAAUACGGAGGGUGCAAGCGUUAAUCGGAAUUACUGGGCGUAAAGCGCACGCAGGCGGGGUGUCAAGUCGGAUGUGAAAUCCCCGGGCUCAACCUGGGAACUGCAUUCGAAACUGGCAGGCUAGAGUCUUGUAGAGGGGGGUAGAAUUCCAGGUGUAGCGGUGAAAUGCGUAGAGAUCUGGAGGAAUACCGGUGGCGAAGGCGGCCCCCUGGACAAAGACUGACGCUCAGGUGCGAAAGCGUGGGGAGCAAACA
Molecule: ribosomal RNA, 427 nt
Filed under: uncultured bacterium
Lineage: Bacteria
Description: partial 16S ribosomal RNA
Rfam family: Bacterial small subunit ribosomal RNA
Source: RNAcentral